Ctenopharyngodon idella (grass carp) is the source of this 5921-nucleotide long non-coding RNA. RefSeq lists it as uncharacterized. The transcript has 2 exons. The record is from RefSeq and is a predicted model, not a curated record. Lineage: Eukaryota; Metazoa; Chordata; Actinopteri; Cypriniformes; Xenocyprididae.
CACACACACUCACAGAAUGCAAUUGCAAUUUCACUUCCAUUUCAAUUAAAAUUUAAAGGGUUAGUUCACCCAAAAAUGAAAAUUCUGUCAUUAAUUAGUCACCCUCAUGCCGUUCCAAACCUGUAAGACUUUCGUUCAUCUUCGUAACACAAAUGAAGAUCUUCUUGAUGAAAUCAGAGAACUUUCUGACUGUCCCUCCAUAACUACCACUUUGACGCUUCAAAAUGUUCAUAAAGAGAUUGUAAAACUAAUACAUAUGAAUUGAGUGGUUUAGUUCCAAUUUUCUGAAGAGACUUGAUCACUUUAUAUGAUGAAGAGAUUUAAUUUAGGCUUUUAUUCACAUAUAAACAUUGAUCAGGGAACAUAAACAGCUCAACCGAAACUGAUUGACGCACAAGAACAAACCUUUUCUGGAAGCUCAAAUGUGCUGUGUAACACACAAGAAUGAACCUCAUUGGUCAAGCAAACUUGCUUGAGCUUCCACAACUGAUGUGUGAGUUGAUGAAUGUUUAUAUGUGAAUAUACGCCUAAAUUUAGUCAGUUCAUCAUAUAAAGAGAUUAAGUCUUUUUAGAAAAUUUGGACUAAACCACUCAAUACAUACAGUAUGGAUUCAUUUUAUGAUCUCUUUAUGAACUUUUUUAAGCUUCAAAGUAGGUAGUUAUGUAGCUGUCUAUGGAGGGACAGAAAUCUCUCAGAUUUCAUCAACAAGCAUCUCGUUAAAACAUGACCAAAGAGGAACUUUGCUGCCGUACCACGGCUGCAGCAGGCGCAAUGAUAUUACGCAGCGUCUCUCACAAAUGUCUCCAUGGUUGCAAGGCACGCUCCCUGUGCAAGCAGGGGUCACAGGCGCUGCGUAAUAUCAUUGCGCCUGCUGCAGCCAUGGUACGGCAGCAAAGUUCCUUGAUUAUUACGCCGGAAUGAGAGUAUAGUUCCUAGCCAUAUCGGCCUAGAAAACCACAACUUUUCAUUUUCUGUCGGUCUUAGUACACGAUGUAACUACAGAAAAGUCGAGUUUUAAAUAGGAAAAAUAUUAAAACUCUUUGGUCAUUUUUUAACGAGAUGCUAAUGGUCUAAUCAGAUUCAAUGAACUAUGCUAAGCUAUGCUAAAAGUGGUACCGCCAGACCCGGAGAUCGGCUGAAUGGAUUCGAAAAUGGUAAAACUCAACUGUUUAACUCUAGGGGAGUUGGAAAAUGAGCCUAUUUUCAAAAAAAGUGGCGUGUUCCUUUAAGGAAUGUACCAAAUUACUAAAAGGCACCAACACAGGAAAGCAAAAUCCCCCUGAAAGACACAGAUGAGAAGGCAUGGAUUUGCGAGGGAAAACAAGUAUUGAGGUUGAGGACGGGUUGAGGAUGUCAUUGAUGUGGGAGGCCAUCAAGCCUGUAUAGUCAGCAGCGACUUUAGAGAGUAUAAUCUGUUUUUCCUCACCCGUGACAAACGGGGAUAAGGCUCAAUAUUAUCUCCAAGGUCAACCUGAUCCUGGCACUGAAAAGACGUGCCCAACCGGAGGAGCCCUGACUCGCCACUAUAUCCCUUUCUCCUCCUUAUCACCGUCUAAACACACUUGUUUAAACAAAAGAGAGACCGAACAAGCCCGCAUUCACUUUCUCUCAUGCUCUCUUUACCACAUCAGUGCCGCAAUACAGAUAACUUAAGUUAUAACCACCAGCAACACAUUUUGACAACAAUAACAUUAUCUUUUAUGCAUUCUCUUCUGUGCAAAGGUUAGAUUAUACAGCUAUUAGAGAAUUUAAAAGGGCAUUGUUGGAGCUUUACGAAACCGUACAAUUAAAGGGCAAAGGUCAAAGCAAUUUUCUCAACUGAAAUUGAAAGUAUUACUCAUGAAAGGUGACAAAAGCCUCAAUUAAUACAUAUUGACAAGUACACACGAAACAAAACGGUACAGGCACAACACAAAAAACAACAACAUGCAACAAGAAGAUUAAUUUCCGUAACAUUUCCUGUUAUUACACUCUCCAUGGAACACUGACCAAUGUGCCCUCUCAGCGGAUAUGAGAGUCCAGGGUAACCAUUCAACCUUGUACACCCUGCUUGUCCAUUUCUUACCACCACAACUUCCUCCCCCAUGAUCCAUUACAAGGCCCUUAGAGCAGGACCCGUCACUGUGAUGUAUUUAAACUGUACUGCACGGUCACAGACCGCUUAUGGUCCUGAUUCAACAAAAUAGUUCUUCUGCAUGAAUCUGAGACUAUAAGACCAGAUGGCUUCCAGAAUUUUCUCUGGAUUGAUUUUCAAGGGAUUGAUUGUGGUGAAGCUUUGAGCUGUGUAUGAGACUGAUGUAAUCAUAAAUAAGAGCCAGGCUGCUAAAUAACCAAUAGAAACCAAUUGACUAUAUUUACACGCCAAUUCAUUCCCAAGUUUGCCAGCCCACGGAUACAUAAGCUAGCUGAUUUUUUUUUUUUUUUUUUUUUUUUUUUUUACUCUACCAGUGUUUAUACAGAACUAGGCCUUCAUUCUCUGCCAAAAACUACUUUUGUCACUAUGGUUUGCCCCGCUUCCCUCUAAAUCCUGCCAUCACAACUCCCAAUGGAGUCCAGCCAGGAAGCCUGCCUCACUGGUUGGUUGGAUGAAUGUCAUGGUAACCACACUGCUAAUGGUUGCUACGGUUUCCAGCUGACUGCUCUGCUGAGGGGUUUCAAGUGAUGCCCUGGUGACCAGCUCUACACCUUGGGCAGUCACUCAUGAGAGACAAGGCCCCCCCUCUGGCAUAUCUCACUCCCCUCAUGCUCUGGUGGGGAUCUAAAGUUAAAAGUCACCCAAGUCAUUAUUCACGGAUGACCUUCUCCUCUGUUUAAGCUGAGAUGCAUUGCAAAAGUCAUAUGUACCACAAAAAUGGCCUAUUGAUAACAAAAAUCAUUGCUUGUCUUGAGAGACCAAACCUCAUUUUUGUAGAACUUGACGUAAUUAUAAUGUUUGAUUUGAGAGCGACAGCAGAGGCUAAGAUUUUCAGUGAAUAAUUACUCAAAAUUAAUCACACAAAGCAGUCAUAUGAUUGCAGAAGAAUCAGAAUAGAUAACAAGGGGCAUAAGGACCACUUUUAUAACACUUUAAUGGUGCCCCUUUGUUAUUUUGAAAUCUUGACAGCCUAUUCACUUGAACUGAACCUACCUACCUCAAUUGACUCCAAGUGCAUGCCCUCUCCCGCCAGCUAUGGUCAUUAAAAAAGUGCCACCUUGUUGUUCCUUCACAACGAGACACAAAGUCACUCUCCAAAUGCAGUUAAAAAUCAAUAUAUUGCAUUUAACAACACUAACAUAUGCAUAAUUCCACUAUUUCUAGGUCUAUUACAUAUUUUAAAAGUUGUUAGACCCUAGAUGUUUUUGUAGUGACGCAAACUGAAAAAAGAACCGUGGAAUUGCAUACAGAAAUAUGAAAAUUUAAAAUAUUAAUAGAAUAUGCAUAGUUAUUCCAAACAAAAGCCUAAUUUUAUAUGGGAAUUUUUCAGAUCAGUGAAUCCACAACGUCCCAUUCCAAACAAGAACUUGUAACAAUUUUGUAACAAGUAACUAUACCUAUAAACCUGGCCUCAUUUGUUUCCACUGAUUUUAGGAGAAGUCACUUCGUGGCUUGAUUGCAAAAUGCCCCUUCUAUCAAUUUAUCUAUCAUUUUAGUAUUUGGAUGUGGACGACGCAAGGGGAUCAGAAGAGGAGGAAAAAGGCAAACACUUUGAAAAUGGUUUCAUCCUUGAUAAUUACGUGCAGUGAAGCGUGACUCUGCAGGCAGCACCCCAGAGAAGGUUGAGGUAAUCAGUCAGUCACUGCACCCUCUACUGGGGGAAAAGGGGUCUGAGGUCAUCGUUUCUGCUGCAAAACCCGCAGGUGCCCACCGCUGUGUGUGCAUCAGCUGCUUAAAGCUCUGCUUUUUUAAGCCUCAGAAACUAAUAGAAAUGAGAGAUAUCAGAUGCCUUGAUAUGAAGUGUGUGUGUGUGCACAGCUUUAUACCAAAUGGUCCCCACAAGGAUAGUAAAACCUGAAAAUCACCUACAUUGUGGGGACUAGCCAGCAGUCCCUGUGAGGGAAAUGGAUUAAUAAACAUACUAAAUGAUGUUUUUUGAAAACAUCAAAACAUUCUUCAAAAAAUACUCUCGUUUUAUUAUUGUUUUCAUCUCCUAUCCUUUCUAGACAUCUUUAUCAUUGAGCAGAACCCAUCUGUCAAUCAAAGAUGUCACUGGGCGGAGCCCAACCACGCAUAUAAUUUCCUUUUCUGCACAGCUAAAAAUACAAGUCUAAAAAUAGCAGGCUUGGUGAUGAACGCUUUCCGCUCAAGGUGUGCAAAGCAUUUGAGGUGCAACGCACUGACAGGACGCAGGCAUAUUCAGAAACGUGAUAUGACAGGGCAUUUGGCGGGAUUUAACGCUGAGGGAAGAGAAUUCUUGAUUAACCCUCUCUUCUCCCUAGCGAGUGUUUGUUGUAGGAUUCUUAGACCAUUUCUUAUGCCUUUCCAAAAGGAAAAAAGAAAAAUCAAUACGGUAAGAGACACGCUCACACAUACAUACACAGACUCCACUGACUCAGCAAAUGAGGAUCAGUUGGUCAGAGAAUAAUUUCCCUCCACAGCAUGAAAACAAGACUAUAUAAAGCAACCAUUCUAUCAUGUGUGAAAAAGAAAACGCCCAGAAUGUGGAGCUAAACAAGCAGAAAAGCUAUAUUUUAAACCCAGCAAAGCGCCCUCAUACUUUUUAAAGCAUAAAAAAAGCAUACAAUAAUGCAACAGGAUUACGGAAUAUAGCCUUCUGUUUUUCACACAUCUCCAACACCUUUUUAUACGCCUUAAAAUAAAUUUUUUAAAAAAAAAAUAAAAACGUCAGGAAUGCUAGUAAUCAUGUACUCCAACACAUUGUCAUAUACUCCCUGUGCAUGUUUGGGACUUUUGUUAUAUUUCCUGUCCUGUGUGUUUGUAGUCCAUAUUUGUAGUUCUUUGUAGUUUUCCCUGUUGAUUAGUCUCCCCAGGUGUGUCUUGUUCUCUCGUUAUCUUAUUAAACUUGUUUGCCCCUGUGUGUAUAUAUAGGACUUGUGUUUCUAUUGUGCUUUGUCAGUCGAUGUUUGGUGUCCCAGAGCCGCCUGCUCUUUCAGACAUGGCCAUGGAGGCCGUCGUAGAGCCGCCUGUCUACCCUGAUGCGACCAUGGAGGUCGUCCUUGAACUGGUUGCCAGCGCUGACUUGACCACGAAGGCUCACCCCUGAACUUCCUUGGGGAUCUUUGGGCCUGUCUGCUUGGCCGUGGUGGUCUUCUGAUCCGCCGUGGGGAUCUUCAGCCCAGGCUGCACUGCUGUGGUGGACUUCAGCACCGCAGCCCUGGCCACCUGCUCUGCCAGCCCCGCCAGCCCUGCCCUGGCCACCUGCUUAGCCUUAGCCACCUUUUCAGCCUCCUCCGCCCUGGCUACCUGCUCAGCCUGCUUCGCCUUGGCCACCUGCUCUACCUCUUUCCCUGGUCCUCCUCCUCUCCAUGAAACUGGACCACCAUCCCUCCCCCUGUUCCGCCUCCACUCCACCAUCCACCUGAACUUUUGUUUUUGGGGUGUUUCUUCCUGUGAGCGUCUGUAAGCCGCUCUUAAGGGUGGGGGAGGGGCUCUGUCAUAUACUCCCUGUGCAUGUUUGGGACUUUUGUUAUAUUUCCUGUGUGUGCCAUGUUUGUAGUCCUUUGUAGUUUUCCCUGUUGAUUAGUCUCCCCAGAUGUGUCUUGUUCUAUCUUUAUCUUGAUAGGCUUGUUUGCCCCUGUGUAUAUAGGUCUUGUGUUUCUCUUGUGCUGUGGGAGAUCGGAAAUCAGAGAUUUCAAAUAAGUUGGCACGUGUGAGGAAAAGUGUCCCAGGAAGAAAAUGGAACAUCUGACUACUGCUAAAAGCAGCAAAUGCGAUUGUGAACGAGUGUGGUUUUUUUUUUUUUUUUUUUUUUUAUUUAUUUUU